RNA transcript from Bombus pyrosoma, 4908 nucleotides. It is a transcript of the gene named protein Wnt-11b-2-like, with no coding region annotated. The record is from RefSeq and is a predicted model, not a curated record. The transcript has 2 exons. Lineage: Eukaryota; Metazoa; Arthropoda; Insecta; Hymenoptera; Apidae.
CGUUAUUUUGAGCUCGAUAAAUAUGCUGUCAGUCGAACAGCAAAAAGAUCAAUUUACAAACUACAUUAUUCAUACUGUCCGUAUUAUACAAGAAUGUAUUAUUAAUAGAAAAUUCAAUGCUACUAUGUUGCAACGUUACCCAUAUCGCUGUACACGGUUGUCUCAGUUAAACGAAAUCGCCUAAGAUAUCUGCCUCGUUUACGAUCGUAUAAGGAAGAAUUCUCAGGACAAAGUUGGACCACUUACGAGGAAAGAAUCUUCUCGCAAUUUUCUUUUUCUUAAGGAGACUGCAAGGUUAUCGGUAUUUUUUUAAAAUAGAACUCUGCAUCUCUGUUUAUACCAGACGACGUGAUCUCUUAUUCGCUGUAUUCUUCCUAAACUAUGGGAUCCGGUCCCGCAUCAGAGUUGGUGGUCAUUUGUGCAACUGCCGUAAGACCAGUGAGACAAAAGACAUCAGAGGUUUAGGUGAUCUCGUUUAGUCGAGACACCCUGUACAUGUGCUGGGUAUUAUAUAACAAAUUUAUACAAAUAUCGUCGCUGUUUAUCUCUCGAUUCUACCGACAGCCAAUGCACGUGUCGGCUAAUUUAAAGGAAAAAUCGAGCAACCCUCGCGAGAAGAUUUACAUCUAGAAUGGAUAUCAAUGACACGUAACGUAGGCUAAUUUAUUUCAUCGCUAAAUCCGGUGAUAUACGCGUGCACGGUGCACGACCGGUUACAUAAUCCGCUGAAAGCAAUGCAUUUCAAGUAUCUAACGUGGUGAAUGAGUAUCGUCUCGUGCAACAGCCAUACGCUAGGGUUGCAGGCUAGAGACAAGAAGGCUAGAGAUAAAGAAAAAGGUGUCAGAACGCUGGUAAAACUUCUCCAACAGAGAUUAGCGUUCGUUUAUUUCGUAGAAUUCUCGUUAGAGGGGAAAGGUUUCCCGUUGAAAAGGAUCCGAAGCGAUUAAUUCUCUCGUUGAUCGUCUUAUUAAUUUUCUCGUUGCCAAUUCUCUGCAAAAUGUAAGCCUUCCUGAAUAAUUGGCGAAUAUAAGUAAUUGACUUUUUCCUUUUUUGUCUGAUCGUAAUAUUUCUAACCGCCACGAACAACAUCCUGGCAGCUAAAGAUAGUUACGACAUUUAACAGAAACGACAGAGAACGUUUUUCACGUACCACCAUGUAUAUAUGGCUAUGCGAUGAUUUAAUUAGAAUUUCAUCAAAUAUUUUCAAAGAUACUGAACGUGUAGAAACGAAUGCUUCGACGUUGAUUAAUCAGUUAGCUGUUACGACGAACGAGAUCACGUAACAUCGAAUACUAUUAACGAUUUUUUCAUUUUCAAGGAACGUAACGGGUAACGAAUCCUUUAUGGAGAAAAUCCUUCACGGGGAAGAAAAGAAUGGAAAUUCAGCGAUAAUCAAGCGUAUCAAGAAUCGUAAAAUUACGUUACGACAGCCAGUUAACGACUGGCUUCGUUGCAUCUUCGUUUAUCUGUUUGCCUGGACACAGAAGAAUGGUACACGUGUCAUAAAAAUGAACAAGCUGCUCGUAAACAUUUUUCUUUAUUACUAUUGUUCUUGCGUUUGGCUUUCGCCCGUCAUAAGCUUCGGUAAUAAGUGGGUUGCGAGUAAAAGUAGGAAACUAUUUAAUAAGGUCGCAAAAAUGUAUAAGCAACGAUUCAUUCCUAUCCCUGUUACUAGCAAUUCGUAUCACGUUGGCCCCAAAUUCUCGCCGCACUCUGUACGAAGUAGCGCGUUCUGUUCGCCUCCCUAAUUUGCCUACUGUUUAUAUUUACGUUCUAUUCGCGGGCAGUUCCUCAGCGAGCGUUCGACCCAAGCGUUCUGCUUUCUUUCUGCAACGUGUUUGACGUAAUUCUUCAUUCAUACAUCGUGGUACUUUGUUUAUUCUGUUCACGCGACGAUAGCAAGUUUGUAAACGGGGUUCGAAGGUGGUCAUUUCGAACAACUGCUACGAAGAUAAGAACUUAUGGGUUAAUAGUAGUAGUAAUAUUUAUAUACAAACUUAAGGUACAAAUAAAUCGUGUUUCAGGUUUAUACAGUGGAUAAACUGUUUCGUUAAAGUUAUAGUCUCUUGUUGUUACCUACUUCGCCCGAUUAGCUUCCUUCGGUUCGCUCCUAUCGCGUUGCCUGGUUUAUUUUCCUGUUCGUUCUUUCACGCAGGAAGGUCUAAAUCCCAUGCACGAUUUUCUGCACGUGUAUGUAUCUUUUAUUAGCUUUUCUUCUUGAAAAGAAAAGAUACUUGUAAUAUUCAUACUUUGUCGAGAAUUCUGUUUAGAUUUAUAUCGAGGACACUUGACCACAGUAUGUUCCAAUGUCUCCACUUUGUUCCAGUUGCACAGUUUGCAAUUUGCAUUGUCGUUAAUAAAAUACGUAACACCCUCGACGUUUACCUUCCACCCAGUUUUACUCGAUGGUCUUACUGGUGCCAGGGUUGUUGCGUAGGUAACAGCUAUAUUUAAACCUAUACAUUUUGCUUGUUCUCUUCUCUGUGCAACUUCUUAACGCAUUUAUGCGAGCAGUUGCAGAUUACUGGAACGCGAAAAUGGCUGUAACUUGGAAAGAAGGUCAGGCAGGACACGCGUUCUUACGACGCGGAUUCCACGCGUUACGAUACACCCUGUAUAUCUAUCCGAUGCAUAAUGCAGAUAUCAGACGAGUGAUAUUUCAGAGGAGUUUACGGUGCGCGAUUCGUGGCGAUCGCGGCAUUUAUUUCUGUCUCCGAGCUAGUCAACUAAUCGUUACCUGGCGCUAAUAAAAUACUUCCAUCCUGUACGUCGACUCGAUCCUUCGGCUUGUUCGCUUUUGUGCAACAGCCACACACAACGAAUUUCUCGGCUCGAUCUCGGUUAUCUUCGGCAUAGCCGGAUCACCGACCCGGGUAUCGGUGAUCGGAUACUCGCUUAUUUAUACGACUGUAUCGGUAAUUACCUAUGAGGGAAGACCCUGGAGAUAGGGCGGAACUUGAUUUUUCCGGCCGAUGGAAAAACCUGUUCUCGAAACCGAAUAAAUCCACUGUUUUACGAUAUUUCAACGACUCUACGGUCCCUCUGCUAUCGACACGGAAUCUUUCUUCGCUUACAGUUAAAUGCUGAAGCCGCGUGCUCGUUGAACCGACAACGAGCAACCUUCUGUUGUCAGGUGUUGGCGGCUGGUUCAAACCGUACUCGACCGCGUCGGCGAUUUUGACGCGAAGCAAAAGCAGCGAAACCCUAGACGAGAAAAUGUCGUUUCUUUCCCUCCACUUGCUUUUCCACGUGAAAUAACCAGCCGACCGCUUGUAUCGGGAUUUCGCAGACACGCUGUAUAUUACAGAAAGCCGAAUAGAAGGAAAACAAGCGACAUAGCGCACGAACUGUUGUGAAACUGUUUCCUCGGGGUAGUACACACCUUUCAUAGCCGAAUGUUUAACGAUAUUUAUGUCGACAAAAAAGAUCCAUCGAAAGUUGGUUCUUAACAAAAAGUAUCGCGAGGAUUGUGGCCGCCUCGAAGGUUUGCUUGGGCAACGAUCGCUGUUGGCGCGAGCUGGCACGAGAUAAAGCGAGAAAGAAAGAAUAAAGCGAGCUUUCGUCGGUGAUUGCAUUCGCUACGGAUUUUCCGGCAGCACGCGAAAGCAGCGUCUUCGUCGUCCUGAAUUAUUCACGGCCGAUGUUCGUGAAUUAAGAUCACCCACGGCAUUCCGGGAACGGCGACUGGUUUUCGGCAGAAGAUACAGCAACAACGCGGUCAUCCCUUCUGGCUCCGAUGCUUUGUACCGUUCAGCCCGCCCUGUAAAUCAUCCAUCGAAUCAGCGGUUGUGCCGUCACGUUGAGCAAAAUUUAACGCGGUACCUUCUGCUCGUGACGUCGGUUGUUAUCUCAGUGGUUAACUCAGCGCAUCGGAGUGCACGUUAGGAGUGAAUUUUUGAAUGAAUUGUUCAUUUAUCGAAAGACGUCGCUGCUUUUUCUACUCCGUGGCCAGAUGCUUUCAACGAAGUCUCUGCUCUUUGCUGUUUGACGAUGCAACAUCGAGUCGCUGCCUCUCUAUCGACUUAUCCUUCGUCAAACUGUUUCACGCGUCCUGUAAACCGAUAUUCGGCAACCUAUUUGCUAGGAAAUGUUGCUCCGAGGAAGAACGCUCCGGCGUAGCUAGUAACCUUGAAGUUAAAAUUUACCACUUCGAUUACCACGUCGAUCGUCGAUGAGACGACUUGUUUCCUUUUACUAAGCGCCACUUGCGUUACAAGUUGCUCUUUCGAAAUUCCACUUCUACCUAGAGCAGCUCUAUUCGUAGCACAAAAGCUUAGAAUGGUCGGUACUAUACUAGUCUCACCUACGUGCACUUCUACCGUAGAAAACACGUUAGUUUCUUUUUAUUUCUCCCUAUGAUUAGAAAAAAAAAGAAAAGAAUGGAACGGUUGAGCCAAACUGGUGAGCAAUUCGUAAGCUAAUCGGAUGCUAGUUCUGGACAUGUUAAUAUUUCAUCUGUGCCGGUUAAUAUAUGUAUAGUACCUGGUUUCUUUGGGCAUCACUGACUGGCCUGCCGGUUACAGCUUACAACCGGUAAUUAUAACCCUCCGUAUAAUUAUACAAAGUAGGCGUGGUGAAUGUUUAUUACGGGACGCCUUCGACCAUUUCACCGUAUACUUUUCGAAAUCGUUUUUUCUUAACACUACGCCUGUGUAAAAACACGUGGGCCGCAACAACAUGCCAGGUGACUUGGCAGACUUUUUCCCUUUUUAAUGUGUCGCAGGCUGCGCAUCUUUAUGGAAGUGCGAUCGACGAUCGGGCAAUCAACCGGCAGUGCAAUGGCAGCAGUACCGGAUACGAAGGUUGCGAGUACCUUUGUUGCGGCCGAGGACACGUGACGAAAACGGAAGAAGUUUUAGAGCGAUGCGACUGCAAGUACAUCAGCUGCUGUUACGUCAAAUGCAAAAC